Molecule: long non-coding RNA, 263 nt
Organism: Vespa mandarinia (Asian giant hornet)
Lineage: Eukaryota; Metazoa; Arthropoda; Insecta; Hymenoptera; Vespidae
Source: RefSeq, a predicted model, not a curated record
AGUUUCGUGUCACACCCAGUUGCCGAGAACGACGUCCAAGGUUAUUUUAUAUAUGAUCCAUAUGGAAGGGAGCACCACGUGUCAGAUGUAUAUCCGCAUUAAAAGGAAAAGAAGAGAAGAAAAGAUAAAAAAAAAAAAAAAAAAAAAAAGAAAAAUCUAUUACGUGUAAAUAGCAUUUGAAAUUCCGACCAUUCCUCGCUUCAUUCAUUUUAAGAUUCUAUCCCUCGUACUAAUUACGAAUUCGAGUAUCUUUUGAAAAAAAA